UACGGGAGUGGCAAGCGUUAUCCGGAAUUAUUGGGCGUAAAGCGUCCGCAGGCGGUCUGUCAAGUCUGCUGUUAGAGCGUGGAGCUUAACUCCAUUUCGGCAGUGGAAACUGACAGACUAGAGUGUGGUAGGGGCAGAGGGAAUUCCCGGUGUAGCGGUGAAAUGCGUAGAUAUCGGGAAGAACACCAGUGGCGAAGGCGCUCUGCUGGGCCAUAACUGACGCUCAUGGACGAAAGCCAGGGGAGCGAAAGGGAUUAGAUACCCCUGUAGUCCUGGCCGUAAACGAUGAACACUAGGUGUCGGGGGAAUCGACCCCCUCGGUGUCGUAGCCAACGCGUUAAGUGUUCCGCCUGGGGAGUACGCACGCAAGUGUGAAACUCAAAGGAAUUGACGGGGGCCCGCACAAGCGGUGGAGUAUGUGGUUUAAUUCGAUGCAACGCGAAGAACCUUACCAGGGUUUGACAUCCUGCGAAUCUCUUGGAAACGAGAGAGUGCCUUCGGGAACGCAGUGACAGGUGGUGCAUGGCUGUCGUCAGCUCGUGUCGUGAGAUGUUGGGUUAAGUCCCGCAACGAGCGCAACCCACGUCGUUAGUUGCCAGCAUUUAGUUGGGCACUCUAGCGAGACCGCCGGUGAUAAACCGGAGGAAGGUGUGGAUGACGUCAAGUCAUCAUGCCCCUUACAUCCUGGGCUACACACGUACUACAAUGCUACGGACAAAGGGCAGCAAACUCGCGAGAGCUAGCAAAUCCCAUAAACCGUGGCUCAGUUCAGAUCGUAGGCUGCAACUCGCCUACGUGAAGGAGGAAUCGCUAGUAAUCGCAGGUCAGCAUACUGCGGUGAAUACGUUCCCGGGCCU
Molecule: ribosomal RNA, 857 nt
Filed under: uncultured bacterium
Lineage: Bacteria
Description: SSU rRNA
Rfam family: Bacterial small subunit ribosomal RNA
Source: RNAcentral